This 329-nucleotide ribosomal RNA is filed under the name uncultured eukaryote. RNAcentral describes it as "partial 18S ribosomal RNA". It matches the Rfam family "Eukaryotic small subunit ribosomal RNA", at positions 1470 to 1796 of the family's 1831-position model. The record is from RNAcentral.
CCCUUAGAUGUUCUGGGCUGCACGCGCGCUACACUGAUGCGCUCAACGAGUUUACGACCUUGCCCGGAAGGGUUGGGUAAUCUUUUUAAAACGCAUCGUGAUGGGGAUAGAUUAUUGCAAUUAUUAAUCUUCAACGAGGAAUGCCUAGUAGGCGCAAGUCAUCAGCUUGCGUCGAUUACGUCCCUGCCCUUUGUACACACCGCCCGUCGCUCCUACCGAUUGAAUGUGUUGGUGAGGAGCUCGGAUUGGCAGCAGUUGGUGGUUCGCCACCGGCUAUUGCUGAGAAGUCCUCCAAACCGCCCCAUUUAGAGGAAGGAGAAGUCGUAACA